This 728-nucleotide non-coding RNA is filed under the name Streptomyces acidiscabies. RNAcentral describes it as "Bacterial large subunit ribosomal RNA". It matches the Rfam family "Bacterial large subunit ribosomal RNA", at positions 1 to 667 of the family's 2925-position model. The record is from Rfam by way of RNAcentral. Lineage: Bacteria; Bacillati; Actinomycetota; Actinomycetes; Kitasatosporales; Streptomycetaceae.
GGCCAAGUUUUUAAGGGCGCACGGUGGAUGCCUUGGCACCAGGAACCGAUGAAGGACGUGGGAGGCCACGAUAGUCCCCGGGGAGCCGUCAACCAGGCUUUGAUCCGGGGGUUUCCGAAUGGGGAAACCCGGCAGUCGUCAUGGGCUGUCACCCAUACCUGAACACAUAGGGUAUGUGGAGGGAACGAGGGGAAGUGAAACAUCUCAGUACCCUCAGGAAGAGAAAACAACCGUGAUUCCGGGAGUAGUGGCGAGCGAAACCGGAUGAGGCCAAACCUACGACGUGUGAGACCCGGCAGGGGUUGCGUCGUGGGGGUUGUGGGAUCUCUCUUUCACAGUCUGCCGGCUGUGGGACGAGUCAGAAACCGUUGAUGUAGGCGAAGGACAUGCGAAAGGUCCGGCGUAGAGGGUAAGACCCCCGUAGUCGAAACGUCAACGGCUCGUUUGAGAGACACCCAAGUAGCACGGGGCCCGAGAAAUCCCGUGUGAAUCUGGCGGGACCACCCGCUAAGCCUAAAUAUUCCCUGGUGACCGAUAGCGGAUAGUACCGUGAGGGAAUGGUGAAAAGUACCGCGGGAGCGGAGUGAAAUAGUACCUGAAACCGUGUGCCUACAAGCCGUGGGAGCGUCGCGCAUCGAGUUUACUCGGUGCGUCGUGACUGCGUGCCUUUUGAAGAAUGAGCCUGCGAGUUUGCGGUGUGUUGCGAGGUUAACCCGGGUGGGGUAGCC